Long non-coding RNA from Musa acuminata subsp. malaccensis (wild Malaysian banana), 376 nucleotides. RefSeq lists it as uncharacterized. NCBI's taxonomy places the organism in Eukaryota, Viridiplantae, Streptophyta, Magnoliopsida, Zingiberales, Musaceae. The record is from RefSeq and is a predicted model, not a curated record.
GCACUGCGAUGAAGCCAGUGAUCUUCUUUACAGGGAUUACCAGACGGAUCACAAGUUCACCGUCAAGACGUACACAUCCAACGGAGUCGUGAGCAAUCAUUCUCUUUUCUUGGGGGAAUGUUACCUCGGCCAGUGGAUCUGAAAUAACAAGAAGCAGCAUACAUGGGAUAUCUAACUUGUGGCCAUCAGUAUAAUUUUGUUACUUUCUUUUGGUGAUUAAUGUUUUCUGUUGACUUCAUCAGCUUGUCAGGUGAAUGAUGGUAGUUUGGCUACAAAACAUAGGCUCUGCAGCAGCCAUAGGAGGUGUCUAUUAUACUACCGUGUUUAGUUGUCAAAAGCAUUGCAUCAAGUAUAAUUCGGACGGCUUCUUAUUUUA